Molecule: ribosomal RNA, 479 nt
Filed under: uncultured bacterium
Lineage: Bacteria
Description: bacterial SSU rRNA
Rfam family: Bacterial small subunit ribosomal RNA
Source: RNAcentral
GCGUGCGGGAAGAAGGCCUUAGGGUUGUAAACCGCUUUCAGUAGGGAAGAAAAUGACGGUACCUACAGAAGAAGGUGCGGCCAACUACGUGCCAGCAGCCGCGGUAACACGUAGGCACCAAGCGUUAAUCGGAAUUACUGGGCGUAAAGCGCGCGUAGGUGGUUCAGUCAGUCAGAUGUGAAAGCCCCGGGCUCAACCUGGGAACUGCACCUGAUACUGCUGAGCUAGAGUACGGUAGAGGGUAGUGGAAUUUCCGGUGUAGCGGUGAAAUGCGUAGAGAUCGGAAGGAACACCAGUGGCGAAGGCGACUACCUGGACCGAUACUGACACUGAGGUGCGAAAGCGUGGGUAGCAAACAGGAUUAGAUACCCUGGUAGUCCACGCCGUAAACGAUGUCAACUAGCCGUUGGGGGACUUGAUCCUUUAGUGGCGAAGCUAACGCGAUAAGUUGACCGCCUGGGGAGUACGGCCGCAAGGUU